CCAGACUCCUACGGGAGGCAGCAGUGGGGAAUAUUGCACAAUGGGGGAAACCCUGAUGCAGCGACGCCGCGUGAGUGAAGAAGUAAUUCGUUAUGUAAAGCUCUAUCAGCAGGGAAGAAAAUGAUGGUACCUGAGUAAGAAGCCCCGGCUAACUACGUGCCAGCAGCCGCGGUAAUACGUAGGGGGCAAGCGUUAUCCGGAUUUACUGGGUGUAAAGGGAGCGUAGACGGCUGUGCAAGCCAGAUGUGAAAGCCCGGGGCUCAACCCCGGGACUGCAUUUGGAACUGCGUGGCUUGAGUGUCGGAGAGGCAGGCGGAAUUCCUAGUGUAGCGGUGAAAUGCGUAGAUAUCAGGAGGAACACCGGCGGCGAAGGCGGCCUGCUGGACCGUGACUGACGUUGAGGCUCGAGAGCGUGGGGAGCAAACAGGAUUAGAUACCCGGGUACC
RNAcentral lists this ribosomal RNA (446 nucleotides) under uncultured bacterium. RNAcentral's name for it is "bacterial SSU rRNA". It matches the Rfam family "Bacterial small subunit ribosomal RNA", at positions 331 to 794 of the family's 1533-position model. The record is from RNAcentral.